GAUGAAGAACGUAGCGAAAUGCGAAAAGUAAUGUGAAUUGCAGAAUUCAGUGAAUCAUCGAAUCUUUGAACGCACAUUGCGCCCGCCAGUAUUCUGGCGGGCAUGCCUGUUCGAGCGUCAUUUCAACCCUCAGGCCCCCAGUGCCUGGUGUUGGGGAUCGGCCCAGCCUUCCUGUAAGGCCGCCGGCCCCGAAAUCUAGUGGCGGUCUCGCUGUAGUCCUCCUCUGCGUAGUAGCACAACCUCGCAGUUGGAACGCGGCGGUGGCCAUGCCGUUAAACACCCCACUUCUGAAAGUUGACCUCGGAUCAGGUAGGAAUACCCGCUGAACUUAAGCAUAUCAAUAAGCGGAGGA
RNAcentral lists this unclassified non-coding RNA (352 nucleotides) under soil metagenome. RNAcentral's name for it is "partial contains 5.8S ribosomal RNA, internal transcribed spacer 2, and large subunit ribosomal RNA". The stretch from base 1 to 120 matches the Rfam family "5.8S ribosomal RNA", at positions 35 to 154 of the family's 154-position model. The record is from RNAcentral.